This 324-nucleotide ribosomal RNA is filed under the name uncultured eukaryote. Its description in RNAcentral is "partial 18S ribosomal RNA". It matches the Rfam family "Eukaryotic small subunit ribosomal RNA", at positions 1470 to 1796 of the family's 1831-position model. The record is from RNAcentral.
CCCUUAGACGUUCUGGGCCGCACGCGCGCUACACUGGUCGAUGCAACGAGUUUCUUUCCUUGGCCGACAGGCCUGGGCAAUCUUUGAACAUCGAUCGUGAUCGGGAUAGAUUCUUGUAAUUUUUGAUCUUAAACGAGGAAUUCCUAGUAAACGCAAGUCAUCAGCUUGCAUUGAUUACGUCCCUGCCCUUUGUACACACCGCCCGUCGCACCUACCGAUUGAAUGGUCCGGUGAAAUCUCCGGACUGGCGUGAGUCGGAGCAAUCUGACAAACACCGGAAAGUUGAUUAAACCUUACCAUUUAGAGGAAGGUGAAGUCGUAACA